UCCGAGUUGACCCCGGCAGUCUCCUAUGAGUCCCCGGCAUGACCCGCUGGCAACAUAGAACGAGGGUUGCGCUCGUUGCGGGACUUAACCCAACAUUUCACAACACGAGCUGACGACAGCCAUGCACCACCUGUGAAUCACCUUCGAAAGCGAGUGGCUUUCACCACCUUGCAGAUCCAUGUCAAGCCCUGGUAAGGUUCUUCGCGUUGCAUCGAAUUAAGCCACAUGCUCCGCCGCUUGUGCGGGUCCCCGUCAAUUCCUUUGAGUUUUAGCCUUGCGGCCGUACUCCCCAGGCGGAGUGCUUAAUGCGUUAGCUGCGGCACGGAGAACGUGGAAGGUUCCCCACACCUAGCGCCCAACGUUUACGGCGUGGACUAC
Molecule: unclassified non-coding RNA, 378 nt
Filed under: uncultured Actinomycetes bacterium
Lineage: Bacteria; Bacillati; Actinomycetota; Actinomycetes
Description: uncultured actinobacterium contains 16S-23S intergenic spacer region
Source: RNAcentral